GGGGGCGAACAGGUUUCGACCGGAUAGGCGAAGCGUAAGCGGCGUGUCGUGGUUGAUCAGUGGGCCACGUUAAAAGCUGAUCACAAUCUUCAAUUGCUGAAGGUUCCUACGCUUUGGCUGCCUAAUUAAUUAGGCAUCCCGGACUAUGGGCUGACGUCGGGUCGGCCCGGACGUCCGUCACCAAUCCCGACUAGCCGCGCGGCAAUGUUGGAUACACACGCGGCGAAAUAAAGUUUCCGACUAGCGAGCCCGAAGCCCUGUCGAUGAGGCGUCGAGCAAGCGAAAUUAAACUCGCCGACUACACACGUAGAAGUUUGCGUGGAGAUAUCUCGGGACGCGGGUUCGAUUCCCGCCGCCUCCACUU
Molecule: transfer-messenger RNA, 364 nt
Filed under: Pirellulales bacterium
Lineage: Bacteria; Pseudomonadati; Planctomycetota; Planctomycetia; Pirellulales
Rfam family: transfer-messenger RNA
About the family: Bacterial tmRNA, also known as 10Sa RNA or SsrA, is named for its dual tRNA and mRNA-like properties. Its role is to liberate the mRNA from a stalled ribosome.
Source: RNAcentral